Molecule: non-coding RNA, 7257 nt
Organism: Solanum lycopersicum (tomato)
Lineage: Eukaryota; Viridiplantae; Streptophyta; Magnoliopsida; Solanales; Solanaceae
Source: RefSeq, a predicted model, not a curated record
AUCAUCUUGAGUUCUCAAAACAAAAAUCCAAAUGAAAUUUCAAAAAAAGUUCUUCCUAAGAUCCUUGUGCUAACACUAGCAAAAAACAAUUUAUUUUCAAGAAUAAAUUUUUUAUUUAAUUCAAUAAUCACGAUCCACAAAUAGAGUAAUCGCACAGUCCAUGUCACAAAUUAGCCGAAACGUGCAAAAAUGCAGAGUUCUUUGGACACUGAAAAAGCCAUUUCAAGUGGAUCCAUAUCAGGGUCAGACUCGGUCGGGUUUCUAAUUGGUCAAAGGGUCCAUUUCGUUGGAGAUACCCGCCGGAUCGGAACUGUGAAGUACGUCGGAGCAGUAGAAGGCUAUGGGGGAAUCUGGGUCGGUGUUGGUUGGGACAAUGGUGACGGUAAGCAUGAUGGGUCACAUAACGGGGUUCGCUAUUUCGAAGCCCAAGGUCCAAAAUCUGCUUCAUUCGUACGACCGCACAAUCUUAGCUCCGGAUUCCCACUCCUGAAGGCCCUUGAGUUAAGGUAUCAUGGAGAAUCCACUAAAGAAGAAGAAGAUGAGAUGUAUGUUCUUUCUGCGUCAAACAAAAGGGUUACUAUUGAGCUGCUGGGUAAAGAUAAGAUUCAAAACAAGCUGAGUCAAUUUGAGGAGUUGACAAGUGCAUCACUUGCUUAUUUAGGGGUUAGCUCAGCUGGACCCCCGGGUCAUAUCAAUACGACUAUACCAAGACUAAAGGAGCUUGAUUUGACUGGAAACCUGCUUUCUGAUUGGAAGGAAAUUGCUGCAAUCUGUAAAGAGUUACCAGCUCUUGUAACUCUGAACUUAUCAUACAACAGCAUGUCUCACGAUAUAAGUGGGAUGCCCCUGCUAAAUCACAUCAAAGUUGUUGUUUUGAGCCACACCGGUAUAGGCUGGAAACAGGUCGAAAUGCUUAAAGACUCUAUCCCUCUUAUUGAAGAGCUCCAUCUGAUGGGAAAUAAGCUGAGAGGAAUAACGCCAUUAUCUUCAGAUAUUGUUCAUGGAUUUGAUUCUCUCCGUCUUCUCAAUUUGGAGAAUAAUUUAAUAGCUGCCUGGGAUGAAAUCUUGAAGCUGUCACAGUUAAAAAGAUUGGAACAGCUCUUUUUGAAUAACAACUGUAUCAGUCAUAUCUGGUACCCUGAUCAUAAUCCAUUAUCUGAACCACCCAAUAGUCUUGAACUUCUUCGGGAAAGCUUUAGGCCUUUCCAGAAUCUUCGUUGCCUUCUUGUGGGAGGGAACAAAAUUGAAGACUUUUCUUCUAUUGAUACACUUAAUCUUUUUCCUAAUUUGUUGGAUAUAAGGCUUUCUGAGAAUCCAAUAGCAGAUCCAAGAAAAGGUGGUGUCCCCCGGUUUGUUUUGAUUGCUCGUCUUGCAAAAGUUGAAAUUUUAAAUGGAAGCCAGGUUAGUCCUCGAGAGAGGAAAGACUCUGAAAUUCGGUAUGUCCGUUUGGUCAUGUCUAAAUGCCAGGAUCCAGAGGAAAUCAAGAAACUUCACCCCAGAUUUGUGGAGCUGAAAAAAAUUCACGGGAUUGAGUAUGAAAAGGCUGCAACUGGAGCAACAGGUCCACAAAAACUGUCAUCGAGCCUCAUUUCUAUUACCCUGAAGUGUGUCGCAGCAUCAAUUGGUGAAAAAGUCCCAUUGACUAAAAAGCUGCCGGCAACAACAACAGUUGGCAAGCUGAAAAUCCUAUGUGAGAGUUUCUUCAAGAUAAAAUCUAUUAAACCGAAGUUGUUUAUUCAAGAAGAGUCAAACCUUCAAGAGUCAACAGUGGUAGCUAGCAAAGGCGACAUCAGAAUUAGUUUACCUCCUGAAGUGAAGGAUACUGGGUUGUACAAAAGGUGCCUGGUGGCAUCUUUCAAAGAAGGAAAAUUGAGAUCCAUCACUAUCAGACAUCCGGAAGUGAUCCUCAAUUUCGUGGAAAGUUGUAUUUGGGAUCAAUAUUUAUGAGAUGUCAAACAAGAUGUUUCUUUUUGAAUUUCCAAAUAGGAAUAUAGCAGAACAAAUAAUUCAGAGGGAAUGGAGUUGGAAGAAGACCAAAGUCAGUCUUCAAUGGUGGAACCCAGUUACCGGUUGUAUACCUGCAACUCAAAAUUCGACCACUACUUGGAUUCGUUCUUUGGGAGUGCCAUUGCAACUAUGGUCUCAACAAGUAUUUAGAGUAUGGGAAUUUAUGUGGAGGCUGGGUCUCAACAGAAGAAGAGACAGAUUUAAAGAACCACUUAAAAUGGGCAAGAAUUCAAAUUUCAUGAAAAGGAGAUAAUUGCCCAAAUGAGGUUAUGCUAGAAAGAGAUGGAAUCAAAUUUUUCAUUCCUAUUUGGGUGGAAAAGAAGGCUCGAUUUAUUAGAGCCUUACAGGAGAUGGAGAAAGCUGGUGAAGGAUCCAAAGGUUUGUGAAAUCCUUUGGACCCAUGGACAAAAGGAGUCCUUGGUACUAGGAAAAGACAAGGGUGUAAGUCAAACUUUGGUGUAGGACAGGCAGAACGUGGGAGGUGCAGACACAGCUAGAUGUCACUUUAAAAGAUUUAAACAAGUCAUGUGAGGAGGAGGUGGUGAUUUUAAAGUUUGAAAAACAAUCUAUGGGCCAAUGGAAUAAGGGAAUUGGGCUUGAUGGAGCAGCCCAAGUCAUCUUUAAUGACUUAACAAGACCAGCAUUUGAAAACCUUUUUGAUCCUCACUUAGUGGAAAUAAAAAGAUAUUGUCCUCUAACCUGACAAUCUUGCACCCAGGAGAUCGAUGCGACACUAGAAGAACUAUCAAAUAGUCCAGCAGCCGCUAAUAUUCAGAAGGAAUUAUCGCCGGAAGAAAUGGAGAUAGAAAUUGCCAUCGACAAAGUAGGGGCAGAGGGUCAGAUUUCAAUUGAUCAUCACAUUUCCAUUGUUCCAUGAAUCCAUACAAAAAUUGAAGAAUGGGUGGUUGAAGAUGUUCAGCCAAUCCAACCAAAUGAAGCACGAUUUCUUCAUAAAGAUAAGGAGACUACGACAUGGGUCAGACAAAAUCUAAUUAAAUUGGGGAAACUGUUUGGAAUUGACUUUCAAGGGCAUGAGGAAGAGACAUUAGAGCUACUCAUGCAGAUAGACAGCUGCAGACAGGCAAGAAAAAUGGAGAAUGAAAGCAUCACCAAAGACUAAGGUAUAAAGGGGUACAAGAACUCAAAAGAUUUGCUUCUUUUGAUGUCAAAUUCAAAGAUGAAGGGAAAAGAGACAGGGAGAGGGAAGGCAAGUUGUUGCAAUGAAGGUAAAACUUGUAUCAUGGAAUGUUAGGGGUUUGAACGAUAGGGAGAAAAGGAGAUUUGUGAAGAGUGAUUCACAACUGGAAUGUAGACAUAGUUUGACUUCAGGAAUCAAAAUUAGAAGGGGAUAUUAAAGAUUUAGUCAAAGAAAUUUGGGGUGGGAGAUGGGUGAAGUAUGCUUGCCUACAAGCUAGUGGCACAAGAGGAGGAAUUGUGAUGAUAUGGGAUAGUAUGUCUUGGAGACGGGAAGUGUUAGAAGUGGGAUCAUAUACCUUAACCUGUAAAUUUGAGGCACUUUUACUAGACUUUAAGUGUCAUAUAACAGGAGUAUAUGCUCCAAAUUGCAUAAUAGAAAGAGAACAUGUAUAGGAAGAAGUAGGAGCUGUCAGGAGUUUAUCUGUGGUGACUUUAAUGUCACCCGUUUUCCUUCAGAAAAAAGAAACUGUAGAAGAAGAUCAACAACCAUGGUGGAGUUCUCUGAUUUCAUUUCAAGAUAUGGAAUUGAUAGUACCACAAUUAGAAAGGGGGAAGUAUACAUGGUUCAAAGGAGAUGGUAACAAUGCAGCAUCCAGAAUUGAUAGAUUUUUAUUUUCCAAAGAAUGGGAUGACAACUUCACUAAAAUAAACCACACCCCAUUGCAUAGGUUGGUAUCUGACCACAACCCCGUGGCCCUGCAAUGUGGAGAGUGGGAGAAGAAUAAAUCUUAUUUGAAAUUUGACAACUGGUGGCUAAACACAUGGUUUUGUGGAUAGAAUUAAAGGGUGGUGGGAGUCUUUUGAAUUCACAGGAAAACCUGAUCACAUCUUGGCAUGCAAACUGAAAGCUCUAAAAGGGAAACUUAAAAAGUGGUGCAGGACCAACAUGGGCAAUCUGGGAACUCAAAAGAUUCAAAUUCUAAGUGAGUUGGUCAGGUUAGAGGCUAUCCAAGAAAAUAGAUUGUUGUCAGAAGAGGAAACUAUUAUGAAGGCAUCUUUUCUGAUGGUGUAUGAAGAACAUCUCAAAAACACCAGCUAUUUUCACAAGCUGGCCAAUGCACAUAGGAGAAGCAACCACAUUGAUCAAUUAGUGGUUUAGGGGAAAAGCAUAAUGGAUUCAGAGAGGAUCAAAGGGGAAAUCAUUGGUUUCUAUGAGAAGUUGUAUACAGAGACUAUUGGUAGAAGACCCAUAAGCAACCUGGUAAACAGUCCUUAUCUCUGAAGCAGAGAAGGAAGCUUUACAAGGUAAUUUUGAGGAACAAGAAGUUUUUUCUUGUUUGAAUAUGUGCCAUGGACAAAACACCUGGUCCAUAUUGCUUCACAAUGGGAUUUUAUAUUAAAUGUUGGGUGGUGCUGAAAGAGGACAUCAUGGGUACUUUCAGAAAUUUUCAUGCAAGGGGUGCUUUUAUAGAAGUUUUAAUGCUACCUAUGUUGCAUUAAUUCCAAAGCACACCAGAGCUAAGGAAUUGAGAGACUUUAGGCCUACUAGCCUCAUAGGUAGUAUCUACGAGCUGCUAUCAAAGGUACUCACAGAAAGAUUGAAAAGAGUGGUAGACAAGUUGGUUGAUACUCAACAGAUGGCUUUCAUAAAAAACAGGCAAAUAAUGGAUGCCAUCAUGAUAGCUAAUGAAGUGGUGGAUUCUAGAAUAUCACAGGGUAAGGCAGGAAUAUUAUGUAAAUUGGAUAUUGAGAAGACAUGUGAUCAUGUUAAUUGGGAAUACCUUCUGAAAAUACUUGUAUGGGAUUUGGGAGGAAAUGGAUCAAAUGGGUAAGAUUUUGUAUCUCAACAGGCAAAGUCUCUGUUCUGAUCAAUGGAGCACCAGAAGGUUUUUUUCCAGCUCAAAGAGGUCUGAGGCAGGGAGAUCCUUUGUUUCCUUUCCUAUUUGUUAUUGCCAUGGAGGGUUUAAAUAAUAUGAUAAAGAUAGCAGGGAACACUAACUAUCUAAGGAGAUUUGAGGUGGCAACAAAUCCUAAUUCUGUACCAAACUUGGCAGUCACACACCUUCAAUAUGCAAAUGACACUUUAAUCUUUUGUGAUGCUGAGGAAGGGCAAUUGUUGAUCUUAAGGUCAAUUUUGGUGCUAUUUGAAGGUGUCUCUGGGUUGCAUAUAAAUUGGAGGAAGAGUAUGUUGUUCCUUAUAAAUGAGGUUACCAACAUAGAGGAGUUGUCUAGAAUCCUAAGAGGGGAAGUAGGAACUUUACCUACCACCUACCUUGGAAUGCCUUUGGUAGCCAAAUCAAAUUCUAUGAACAUUUGGAGCUCGAUGAUGGAGAAGUGUGAAAAGAAGUUGUCCAGAUGGAAGUCACAUUAUUUAUCUUUAGGAGGCAGAGUUACCCUUAUAAACUCAGUGUUGGAUGCUCUUCCCACCUACAUGAUGUCCAUCUUCCCAGUCCCAAAUAGUAUCAUACAGAGGUUGGACAAGGUUAGGAGAGAUUUUCUUUGGAAAGGGAAUAAGGAGACUAAUUCAACAAUCCUUCAUCUGGUCAAAUGGAAAAAAGUGCUUUGGGGGAAAAAACAAGGGGGUCUUGGCAUUAGAAAUCUCAGGCUCUCAGAUUGAAAUGGCUUUGGAGAUAUUCACAAGAACCUCAAGCAUAUUGGAGUAAGUUUUAUUAAAAUCAAAUAUGGUGAAGAGGUUUGGUGGAUAACAGAGGAAGUCAAGACCCCAUAUGGGGUUAGUAUGUGGAGAUCAAUUAGAGUACUUUGGCCUUUCAUGAGGAAGCACACAAAUGUUAAAGUUGGAAAUGGGCUCAAGACUUCUUUUUGGAAGGACAAUUGGUUGAGAUCCGAUAGCUUAAACGGUUUAUUCCCUAACUUAGCUGUGAUGGCUAAACAACCGGAGCCAAGUGUGGCUGACACAUGGACACAACAAGAUUGGAACAUUCAUUUGAGGAGGGACCAGUGUUAUGAAAGGCGCUCGCCUCGUCGCCAAAGGCGAGAGGCGAGGCUAGGCGAGGGUGGCUCACCAUUCUCUGGCGAGGCGAGGCGAGGUGAAAAAGGCGAGGCCCUAGCGAUAAUGGCGCUGAAAUGGCGAGAGAAAGGCGCCGCCUUUUUUAUUAAAAAAAUUUUGACUUAAUAAUAUUAGUCAAAAUUAGGGUUUUUUUUUACUUUCGAAAAUUUCUGACUCUCUCUCGAUCGAUCAAUCGAUUCACUCUUCUCUUCUCCCUCGCCGGCCCUCACUGCUCCCUCGCCGGCCCUCGCUGCUCCCUCGCUGUCGCGUCUCUACUUCCUCGCUCUCCCUCGCUGUCGCAUCUCUUCACCCUCGCGGCUCGCCGGCGACCUCGCGACUCUCUCAGCGAAUUAAUUGUAUUUGAUAAUCAAUGGCGGAUGCUAGCAAAAAGAGGGACAUUGGAUGGAAUUAUGGCACUCAAGGAGCGACGAAAGAUUCGGUCACUUGUAACUUUUGUGGGAGUACUUUCAAUGGUGGAAUAACGCGACACAAACAACAUUUAGUGGGUGGUUUCAAAAAUGUUAAACAAUGUGCCGCUUGUCCGUCGGAAAUUAGAGAAGAAAUAAGGGCUUAUAUGCAAAACAAAAUAGCUAAUAAUCCCAAAUUUCAAAUGAGGCAACCGGAAGAAUUUGUUGAUAUUGAUGAUCUUGAUGAAAUGGAUGAUUAUGCGGAAAUGAGGCCUCCCUUCAAAACUCAAAGGAUAUCUUCUAGUGGAGGUUCAUCCACCGCACAGAGUGUGAUGAAAGGACCUUUGAACCUCUAUUUUUCACAAAAAUCAACACAAAAAGGAGGCUUAGAAAAAGGAGGAGGAAUCGAAGAAACAAAGAAAAUUCUAAGAGAGCGUGCGGUAAGUGCUUUUGCAAUUCGGAUGUAUGAUGCCGGGCUCCCUUUUAAUUGCGUCAAUCACAAAUCAUUCGAUAAAUUUAUUGAGGCGGUUGGACAACAUGGCCCCGGAAUGAAGCCUCCUACAUUCCAUGAAGUUAGAGUCACUCACCUUAAAAAAGAGGUAGAUAAAGUAGAAAAAAUUGUUGAGGAGCAUAAAGUGCAAUGGACAAAGUUUGGUUGUUCCAUUAUGAUGGACAAAUGUACGGCACGAAAUGGCAAAA